AUGACUUAGAGCAUGCGCACUGCGUUCGGGACGCAGGGGUCGCAGGUUCGAAUCCUGCCACUCCGACCA
This 69-nucleotide transfer RNA is filed under the name Bradyrhizobium valentinum. Its description in RNAcentral is "tRNA-Pro". The record is from RNAcentral. Lineage: Bacteria; Pseudomonadati; Pseudomonadota; Alphaproteobacteria; Hyphomicrobiales; Nitrobacteraceae.